RNAcentral lists this transfer RNA (67 nucleotides) under Semele scabra. RNAcentral describes it as "tRNA-Leu". Lineage: Eukaryota; Metazoa; Mollusca; Bivalvia; Cardiida; Semelidae. The record is from RNAcentral.
CUCAUGGUAGUAGAAGAGUUAAUACGGUGGAGUUAAGUUCCGAUGGUAAGCGGAUGCUUCUGUGAGA